Molecule: ribosomal RNA, 230 nt
Filed under: uncultured bacterium
Lineage: Bacteria
Description: partial 16S ribosomal RNA
Rfam family: Bacterial small subunit ribosomal RNA
Source: RNAcentral
AAAGCGCGCGUAGGUGGUUUGUUAAGUUGGAUGUGAAAUCCCCGGGCUCAACCUGGGAACUGCAUUCAAAACUGACUGACUAGAGUAUGGUAGAGGGUGGUGGAAUUUCCUGUGUAGCGGUGAAAUGCGUAGAUAUAGGAAGGAACACCAGUGGCGAAGGCGACCACCUGGACUGAUACUGACACUGAGGUGCGAAAGCGUGGGGAGCAAACAGGAUUAGAUACCCCGGU